RNAcentral lists this unclassified non-coding RNA (378 nucleotides) under uncultured bacterium. RNAcentral's name for it is "contains 16S-23S intergenic spacer region". The record is from RNAcentral.
UCCGGUUUGUCACCGGCAGUCUCUCAUGAGUCCCCGGCAUUAUCCGCUGGCAACAUGAGACGGGGGUUGCGCUCGUUGCGGGACUUAACCCAACAUCUCACGACACGAGCUGACGACGGCCAUGCACCACCUGUGAACGCGCCCCGAAGGGAAGCCGUGUUUCCACGGCGGUCGCGCACAUGUCAAGCCCAGGUAAGGUUCUCCGCGUUGCGUCGAAUUAAACCACAUGCUCCGCUGCUUGUGCGGGCCCCCGUCAAUUCCUUUGAGUUUUAGCCUUGCGGCCGUACUCCCCAGGCGGGAUGCUUAACGCGUUAGCUACGUUGCCGCAGGGGUCAAUACCCGCGACGACUAGCAUCCAUCGUUUACGGCGUGGACUAC